Pelodiscus sinensis (Chinese soft-shelled turtle) is the source of this 401-nucleotide non-coding RNA. NCBI's taxonomy places the organism in Eukaryota, Metazoa, Chordata, Testudines, Trionychidae. The record is from the annotation of a RefSeq genome assembly.
ACACAUUUGCCUCAAAGCCGAGCUCGACAGGAUCCACCAUGGCCUGGGCCCCCCUGCUCCUCGCCCUGCUCACUUACUGCUCAGGGGUCAGGUCACAGCCUGUGGUGACUCAGGAGCCCUCCAUGUCGGUGACCCCAGGAGGGUCCGUCACGCUGUCCUGCAGCCAGAGCACUGGAGCCAUCACCAGCAGCAUCUAUCCUGGCUGGUUCCAGCAGAAACCUGGAUCAGCUUCUGGGGCCAUAUCUGGUAACAGCGCUGUCCUGACCAUCAGCGGUGUGCAGGCACCGGACAAUUCUGACUAUCACUGUGCUGUAUGGACUGGUAGUGCAAACCACAGUGUCUUCAUCCUCCCAGCCAGGGUUCUGCACUAGCUGCAUAAUUUGGUUCCUACCUUCAGUAGA